RNAcentral lists this long non-coding RNA (617 nucleotides) under Gossypium barbadense (sea-island cotton). RNAcentral's name for it is "long non-coding RNA (GBAR_LNC019463)". Lineage: Eukaryota; Viridiplantae; Streptophyta; Magnoliopsida; Malvales; Malvaceae. The record is from RNAcentral.
CCAACAGCCUCGCUGAUGGAUACAGCACUGGAACUGGUUUGGCAGCUGAAAUCAUUGGUACCUUUGUCCUUGUCUACACUGUUUUCUCUGCAACUGAUCCCAAGAGGAAUGCAAGAGAUUCUCAUAUCCCUGUAUGUGUUCAAUAGCUGCAAAUUUCGUAAUGAUUGCUCAAUUUCUUAAGUAUGUUCUUAGGUACUAAUUUUUCCAUAUUCUAAUUUAAGGUCUUGGCACCACUUCCUAUUGGAUUUGCUGUGUUCAUGGUUCACUUGGCAACUAUUCCAAUCACCGGCACCGGUAUCAACCCUGCUCGUAGCUUUGGGGCCGCUGUUAUCUACAACCAGGACAAGCCAUGGGAUGAUCAUGUAUGAACCUUAAAUUUUGACCAUAUAUUCUAGUUUCCCUUUGUUUUAUGUGACACCCUUUUGAAAAAAUUUUGAUGCUUAUGCAACCAUUUGUACUGUUUUGAAAUGUUGCAGUGGAUCUUCUGGGUUGGACCAUUUAUUGGUGCAGCCAUUGCUGCAAUCUAUCACCAGUUUAUCCUGAGGGCAGCUGCUGUUAAAGCUCUUGGAUCCUUCAGGAGCAGCUCUGCCAUGUAAUUAAGCAAAUCAUUCUCCAGC